UUAUUUCAUCCCAUGAUUGAUACUGGGCUAGCUGUUAGCUGGCAUGGUUUGAUUAUUCGUUUUCCACUUCACCAAGCACUUAAGGGAUUGGUGCUUGAAUGGAGAAGGUUCUCAUUUCUUUAUUGCUUCUUUGUUUGCGUGUCUCGAAGCUUAUUCCUCUGUGACUUGAUGCUAAUUAAUGUAAUUGAAUUGACAACUUC
Molecule: long non-coding RNA, 200 nt
Filed under: Olea europaea (common olive)
Lineage: Eukaryota; Viridiplantae; Streptophyta; Magnoliopsida; Lamiales; Oleaceae
Description: long non-coding RNA (OEUR_LNC014900)
Source: RNAcentral